This 340-nucleotide ribosomal RNA is filed under the name uncultured bacterium. RNAcentral's name for it is "partial 16S ribosomal RNA". It matches the Rfam family "Bacterial small subunit ribosomal RNA", at positions 338 to 695 of the family's 1533-position model. The record is from RNAcentral.
CCUACGGGUGGCUGCAGUGGGGAAUAUUGCACAAUGGGGGAAACCCUGAUGCAGCGACGCCGCGUGAGUGAAGAAGUAAUUCGUUAUGUAAAGCUCUAUCAGCAGGGAAGAAAAUGACGGUACCUGAGUAAGAAGCCCCGGCUAACUACGUGCCAGCAGCCGCGGUAAUACGUAGGGGGCAAGCGUUAUCCGGAUUUACUGGGUGUAAAGGGAGCGUAGACGGCAGUGCAAGUCUGGAGUGAAAGGCGGGGGCACAACCCCCGGAGGGCUCAGAAAACUGUACGGCUGGAGUGCAGGAGAGUGAGGUGAAAUUCCUGGGGGAGCGGGGAAAGGCGGAGAU